This 462-nucleotide ribosomal RNA is filed under the name Streptococcus mitis. RNAcentral's name for it is "bacterial SSU rRNA". It matches the Rfam family "Bacterial small subunit ribosomal RNA", at positions 28 to 474 of the family's 1533-position model. The record is from RNAcentral. Lineage: Bacteria; Bacillati; Bacillota; Bacilli; Lactobacillales; Streptococcaceae.
GACGAACGCUGGCGGCGUGCCUAAUACAUGCAAGUAGAACGCUGAAGGAGGAGCUUGCUUCUCUGGAUGAGUUGCGAACGGGUGAGUAACGCGUAGGUAACCUGCCUGGUAGCGGGGGAUAACUAUUGGAAACGAUAGCUAAUACCGCAUAAAAGUAGAUGUUGCAUGACAUUUGCUUAAAAGGUGCAAUUGCAUCACUACCAGAUGGACCUGCGUUGUAUUAGCUAGUUGGUGAGGUAACGGCUCACCAAGGCGACGAUACAUAGCCGACCUGAGAGGGUGAUCGGCCACACUGGGACUGAGACACGGCCCAGACUCCUACGGGAGGCAGCAGUAGGGAAUCUUCGGCAAUGGACGGAAGUCUGACCGAGCAACGCCGCGUGAGUGAAGAAGGUUUUCGGAUCGUAAAGCUCUGUUGUAAGAGAAGAACGAGUGUGAGAGUGGAAAGUUCACACUGUGACG